AUAAGUGUCUCCCUGGUCCAGAGAUUUUGUGAGAUUUUAGCUUAUCUAAUUACAUUGGCCAAGCCCCCUUCCUACGAGAAGGAAGACAAAAAGAGAACAUGUUAGUUCAGUUCUCCUCAUUCAUUGCGGUGAUCUGUUCAACAUUGCUUUUUGAGAAUCUUGUGACAUGACAAACCUUCAGGAUUUUGAAUGCCGAAGUCACUUGUAACAUGGAGAUCGAUAUUUGAUACCUUUUGAGAAGAAGUCUCUGCAGAACACUGAUUAUCCAGUUUAGCUGCAUUUUGGAUGCUCAGGUUUGCGUCUUUGUUUUUUUAUAAAAACUUCAUUUCAUCACUGUAGUACGAGAGAUCAAAUGACAUAAGACAACGUAGAGCACCCGUAAUAGAGUUAACCCCAUAGGUUGGAACCUGCUGACAGACGGAACACAAUAGUGCUUAACAAGUACAAAAACAAUACAAACAUACACAGAUGUGAACUCAAAAAAGCCGGAGUUGUUAUAGAACAAACCUUAGUAGCAACUUGAGUGCACGUGUUUCCAUGCUAACCUUUGCCUGUAUAGAGAUCACCAACAAACAGCAGUGGCAAUAUCAUCCUCAGUUGUGAAUAUCUCAUACCGUUUACCUUUGCCUGAAUGUUUCUCAGUUGAAAAUGUGAUUGACGUAUAGCACAGAUUUGAUAACAACACGUUUGUUCUUUGGUUUCAUAUGUAAUCUCUGUUUGGAGGGGGAACUUAUUGUUACAAUAUGCACUAGUUAUUUAUUUAUAUCCUUUGUGAGCACUUGAA
This is a non-coding RNA of Camellia sinensis, 784 nucleotides long. Lineage: Eukaryota; Viridiplantae; Streptophyta; Magnoliopsida; Ericales; Theaceae. The record is from RefSeq and is a predicted model, not a curated record.